CACGGCGGUGGAGAGGUUGAUCGCGCUGUACGAGGGCGCGGGGCGUGAGGAGGAAGCGGCGCGUUGGCGUUCGAGCGAGCCGCCGCCGUGA
RNAcentral lists this transfer RNA (91 nucleotides) under Planctomycetota bacterium. RNAcentral's name for it is "tRNA-Arg". The record is from RNAcentral. Lineage: Bacteria; Pseudomonadati; Planctomycetota. RNAcentral also lists the same sequence under 1 other name.